UAGACAGAUUUUUGUAUUUUAUUGUAUUCGUGGCGUGAAACAGGGGAUUACAACUGUUUUUAAACGGAAAGUGAAUCAAUUAACAUAAUAGACUCCU
This 97-nucleotide microRNA precursor is filed under the name Nicotiana sylvestris (wood tobacco). RNAcentral's name for it is "MIR6152 microRNA precursor family". It matches the Rfam family "MIR6152 microRNA precursor family". The record is from Rfam by way of RNAcentral. Lineage: Eukaryota; Viridiplantae; Streptophyta; Magnoliopsida; Solanales; Solanaceae. RNAcentral also lists the same sequence under 1 other name.